AGUAGGACUGUCUUAUUCUCAACCGAGAGGGUUACUGCAACUAGCAAGGAAAGUGUCAUGUUCAUACUAUUUUGCUUUUUUUGUGAUAAUUGCAGCAGGUUAUGUUCUUAUGAUGGUAAUUUUAGAUAACACGAAGAUUGAGAUAGUCCAUUGAUCUUUCAGUUACACACUAUAAAUUUAUAAACUGAAGUUACAUGCUAUUAUGUACUUGUAUCAUUGAAGUGUUUGUUUAGUCAGUGUAUAGGGACGGGAUGAUCCGACAAGGAGCAAAUAUAAACCUUUCUUAUGUGGUUCGUUGAUUCUUGUGAUCCCUUCUGAACUGCUGAUGGAGUUUUCUACCGCAGUUAAUACAUCUUCAAUGACUUCAGUACGACGUGCAAUUUCUGCACAGAGCCAUUUAUAAUGCCAUCUGCUGGGAAUGUUGACAUAUUCUGCUGUGAUAAUACUGGGACAUUCCAUCGAAUGAUAUGGACACCUUCAAAGAAAAUUAUGCGUACCAGGAACCCAUCAAGAAGGGAGUGUAGUUCAAUUUGGCAUCUACCUCUGCCUCUGAACCAUGGAGUGAAUUUGGCACCCACCUCCUUCUGAAGCAUCCAUCGGCUGAAAAAAGUGGUACACCAGAUGUGGCGGGGGAGGGUCAGUGCAAGAUGGAAAGACAUGAGGUUUUUCCUGCGAUGGUCUUAUGAAGUGUAUGGAAUUUUCAGUGACUUGGUGCCUGUGUUAUGAUUCUUUAUUUUAUGGUAGUCUUUAUCUGAUUUUAUUUUUGUUCAUUGAUUAUAAUGACCUAUGGGGAAUUGUUCAUGGACGUUCUGACUCCUUAGAGUUCAGGUCAUUUUGUGUACAAGAAGUUUAAUAAUUUGCAUCCUGCAGAUCAAAUGGUGACAUCUGAUCCUAGCAUUCCGCACUGUAAGUCUGACACAAAUGGUUGAAGGUCAAACAUUCACAAUUGGUAUGUACUGCAUUCUAUGUAUUGAUGUAUAUGUUUCAAGUUCUAUUUCCAAACAAUUUCCCUUAUAUUCCUUUAAAGUAUGAUAUACUGGAAUUCUCAGUGGUUUGACUAUGAUUGACAAUGUGUCAUUUUUCAGAAGAUAAAACAUUGCUUUUUAAGGAAGUCUUUAUGUUUUGGUAAUUAAGCUUUAUAUUUAUAUGUAGUCCUAGACGUUUUUUUACUUUUAUCUUAAGUAGAAAUGUAUGUGUCUUAAAAGUUCAGAUGAAGUUGACAUUCUCUUUGGAAUUUUUGCAAACCUAUUACUUAUAAUGGACAAAGCAGAGUGUGUUAGAUGGGAGAAUGGAUGGACUACUAUCAUUCGGAUGGCACCUGGGCGACACAG
Lolium rigidum is the source of this 1331-nucleotide long non-coding RNA. RefSeq lists it as uncharacterized. NCBI's taxonomy places the organism in Eukaryota, Viridiplantae, Streptophyta, Magnoliopsida, Poales, Poaceae. The transcript has 4 exons. The record is from RefSeq and is a predicted model, not a curated record.